Molecule: long non-coding RNA, 277 nt
Filed under: Trifolium pratense (red clover)
Lineage: Eukaryota; Viridiplantae; Streptophyta; Magnoliopsida; Fabales; Fabaceae
Description: long non-coding RNA (TPRA_LNC005264)
Source: RNAcentral
UUGUCAUUGAGAGCAGUGGAAUUAUUGAUGGAUAGUUUAUGAUACAUAAUCCUUGAUUUUGAUUUUUGUAGCGAUAAGAUGUGUGAUUGAUAAGUUGAAGACCAUGUUUUGCAAUAAGCAAGUGAAUUUGUGAGAUAUGAAACUCUAAGUUCAGUAACAGCCAUUGUAUUUGCAAGCAUAUAUUGAAUGGAAUUAAUAUUGGACGAUUACUAUAUAUUAAUUAAUUAACUAGUGUUUUCUUAUAUCAACAUAUUGAAUUGCACACAUAUAUAUAUAG